RNAcentral lists this ribosomal RNA (449 nucleotides) under uncultured bacterium. Its description in RNAcentral is "partial 16S ribosomal RNA". It matches the Rfam family "Bacterial small subunit ribosomal RNA", at positions 29 to 523 of the family's 1533-position model. The record is from RNAcentral.
AGCGAACGCUGGCGGCAGGCCUAACACAUGCAAGUCGAACGAAGUCUUCGGACUUAGUGGCGGACGGGUGAGUAACACGUGGGAACGUGCCUUUAGGUUCGGAAUAACUCAGGGAAACUUGUGCCAAUACCGAAUGUGCCCUUCGUGGGACAGAUUUAUCGCCUUUAGAGCGGCCCGCGUCUGAUUAGCUAGUUGGUGAGGUAAAGGCUCACCAAGGCGACGAUCAGUAGCUGGUCUGAGAGGAUGAUCAGCCACAUUGGGACUGAGACACGGCCCAAACUCCUACGGGAGGCAGCAGUGGGGAAUCUUGCGCAAUGGGCGAAAGCCUGACGCAGCCAUGCCGCGUGAAUGAUGAAGGUCUUAGGAUUGUAAAAUUCUUUCACCGGGGACGAUAAUGACGGUACCCGGAGAAGAAGCCCCGGCUAACUUCGUGCCAGCAGCCGCCGUAA